GUGGGGAAUAUUGGACAAUGGGCGAAAGCCUGAUCCAGUCAUGCCGCGUGUGUGAAGAAGGUCUUCGGAUUGUAAAGCACUUUAAGUUGGGAGGAAGGGCAGUAAGUUAAUACCUUGCUGUUUUGACGUUACCAACAGAAUAAGCACCGGCUAACUUCGUGCCAGCAGCCGCGGUAAUACGAAGGGUGCAAGCGUUAAUCGGAAUUACUGGGCGUACGCGCGCGUAGGUGGUUCAUGAAGUUAAAGGUGAAAUCCCCGGGCUAAACCUGGGAACUGCCUCCAAAACUAAUGGGCUAGAGUACGGUAGAGGGUAGUGGAAUGUCCUGUGUAGCGGUGAAAUGCGUAGAUAUAGGAAGGAACACCAGUGGCGAAGGCGACUACCUGGACUGAUACUGACACUGAGGUGCGAAAGCGUGGGGAGCAAACAGGAUUAGAUACCCUUGUAGUCC
RNAcentral lists this ribosomal RNA (449 nucleotides) under uncultured bacterium. Its description in RNAcentral is "partial 16S ribosomal RNA". It matches the Rfam family "Bacterial small subunit ribosomal RNA", at positions 354 to 796 of the family's 1533-position model. The record is from RNAcentral.